AACGAACGCUGGCGGCAGGCUUAACACAUGCAAGUCGAACGCCCCGCAAGGGGAGUGGCAGACGGGUGAGGGACGCGUGGGAACAUACCCUUUCCUGCGGAAUAGCUCCGGGAAACUGGAAUUAAUACCGCAUACGCCCUACGGGGGAAAGAUUUAUCGGGGAAGGAUUGGCCCGCGUUGGAUUAGCUAGUUGGUGGGGUAAAGGCCUACCAAGGCGACGAUCCAUAGCUGGUCUGAGAGGAUGAUCAGCCACAUUGGGGCUGAGACACGGCCCAAACUCCUACGGGAGGCAGCAGUGGGGAAUAUUGGACAAUGGGCGCAAGCCUGAUCCAGCCAUGCCGCGUGAGUGAUGAAGGCCUUAGGGUUGUAAAGCUCUUUCACCGAUGAAGAUAAUGACGGUAGUCGGAGAAGAAGCCCCGGCUAACUUCGUG
This 431-nucleotide ribosomal RNA is filed under the name uncultured bacterium. RNAcentral's name for it is "partial 16S ribosomal RNA". It matches the Rfam family "Bacterial small subunit ribosomal RNA", at positions 29 to 507 of the family's 1533-position model. The record is from RNAcentral.